RNAcentral lists this ribosomal RNA (273 nucleotides) under uncultured bacterium. RNAcentral describes it as "partial 16S ribosomal RNA". It matches the Rfam family "Bacterial small subunit ribosomal RNA", at positions 524 to 796 of the family's 1533-position model. The record is from RNAcentral.
GACAGAGGGUGCGAACGUUGCUCGGAAUCACUGGGCGUAAAGCGCGCGUAGGCGGACCGGAAAGUCGGUUGUGAAAUCCCUGGGCUCAACCCAGGAACUGCAUCCGAAACUCCCGGUCUCGAGUGACGGAGAGGAUAGUGGAAUUCCCGGUGUAGAGGUGAAAUUCGUAGAUAUCGGGAGGAACACCAGUGGCGAAGGCGGCUAUCUGGACGUCCACUGACGCUGAGGCGCGAAAGCGUGGGGAGCAAACAGGAUUAGAAACCCCAGUAGUCC